Molecule: ribosomal RNA, 528 nt
Filed under: uncultured eukaryote
Lineage: Eukaryota
Description: bacterial SSU rRNA
Rfam family: Eukaryotic small subunit ribosomal RNA
Source: RNAcentral
UAGUCAUAUGCUUGUCUCAAAGAUUAAGCCAUGCAUGUUUCAGUAUCAGGUUCUAUACGGGGCAACUGUGAAUGGCUCAUUACAACAGUUAUAGUUUAUUUGAUGGUCAUUCACUACAUGGAUAACCGUGGUAAUUCUAGAGUUAAUACAUGUGCCCAAACCUGACUUGGUGGAAGGGUUGUGUUUAUCAGAUACAGAACCAACCCAGGCUGUGUCUGUUAUUGUGGUGAUUCAUAAUAACCGAACGAAUUGCAUGGCUUCUGCCGGGGAUGAAUCAUUCAAGUUUGUGACCUAUCAGCUUCUGACGGUAGGGUAUUGGCCUACCGUGGCAAUGACGGGUAACGGACAAUUAGGGUUUGAUUCCGGAGAGGGAGCGUGUGAAACGGCUACCACAUCUAAGGAAGGCAGCAGGCGGGCAAAUUACCCAAUCUUGACACAGGGAGGUAGCGCCAAGAAAUAACAAUACAGGGCAUCCAUGUCUUGUAAUCUGGAAUGAGUAGAAUUUAAAUCCCUUUCCGAGUAUCAAUG